AGUUCUAUACUUUAAAAUAAAAGAUUUGAUUUGCACUCAACUAUUGAAUACUAUUCUAGAACUA
This 64-nucleotide transfer RNA is filed under the name Prolasmidonta heterodon. Its description in RNAcentral is "tRNA-Ala". Lineage: Eukaryota; Metazoa; Mollusca; Bivalvia; Unionida; Unionidae. The record is from RNAcentral.